AGCGAACGCUGGCGGCGUGCUUAACACAUGCAAGUCGAGCGAAGGUGUUUCAAGGGUAACCUUGAGAUACACUUAGCGGCGGACGGGUGAGUAAUACGUGGAUAACUUACCUCUAGGCCUGGGAUAACCCCGGGAAACUGGGGCUAAUACCUGAUAAGACCACAUUGUCUACGGACAAAGGGGUAAAAGGUGGCUGUGCAAACAGCUAUCGCCAAAAGAUAGGUUCACGUCCCAUCAGGCAGUGGUGAGGUAAUGGCUCACCAAACCAAAGACGGGUAGCCGGCCUUGGCGGGUGAACGGCCACACGGGGACUGAGACACGGCCCCGACUCCUACGGGAGGCAGCAGUGGGGAAUAUUGGGCAAUGGGCGCAAGCCUGACCCAGCGACGUCGCGUUGGGGAAGAAGG
RNAcentral lists this ribosomal RNA (407 nucleotides) under uncultured bacterium. Its description in RNAcentral is "bacterial SSU rRNA". It matches the Rfam family "Bacterial small subunit ribosomal RNA", at positions 29 to 414 of the family's 1533-position model. The record is from RNAcentral.